RNAcentral lists this ribosomal RNA (861 nucleotides) under Rhinella trifolium. RNAcentral's name for it is "partial 16S ribosomal RNA". It matches the Rfam family "Bacterial large subunit ribosomal RNA", at positions 1437 to 2576 of the family's 2925-position model. Lineage: Eukaryota; Metazoa; Chordata; Amphibia; Anura; Bufonidae. The record is from RNAcentral.
AGCGUCAAAGCUUAAUUGUUAUUAUGCCUAAUCACCCAACCACCAUCUUAAUCCUCUAAUAAUACUGAGUAAUUCUAUAUUUCUAUAGAAAAUUUUAUGUUAAAACUAGUAACAAGAAGAAGAUUCUUCUCUCUAAUGUAAGUGUAAAUCAGAAAGGACAAACCACUGAUAAUUAACGUCAUUGAAACUAAAGUAGAAACUCAUCAAGAAAACUCUACUUUUAUUAACGUUAACCUAACACAAGAACAUUAUAAGAAAGAUUAAAAGAAAAAGAAGGAACUCGGCAAAUAUUAACCUCGCCUGUUUACCAAAAACAUCGCCUCUUGACUAAUAUAAGAGGUCCAGCCUGCCCAGUGACCCUGUUCAACGGCCGCGGUAUCCUAACCGUGCGAAGGUAGCGUAAUCACUUGUUCUUUAAAUGCGGACUAGUAUGAAUGGCAUCACGAAGGUUAUACUGUCUCCUUUUUCUAAUCAGUGAAACUAAUCUCCCCGUGAAGAAGCGGGGAUAAAAAUAUAAGACGAGAAGACCCUAUGGAGCUUUAGACAACACAGCAUUUACCUAAAAAACUAAUAUUUCUGAAUUCUAUAACUUCUAUAGAUAAUAUGACUGUAAGUUUUUGGUUGGGGUGACCGCGGAGCAUAACAUAACCUCCAUGUUGAAAGAAUUAUUUUUUAAGCUAAGAAUUACCCAUCUAAGCAUCAAUAAAUUGACAUCUAUUGACCCAAUAUAUUUGACCAACGAACCAAGUUACCCUAGGGAUAACAGCGCAAUCCACUUCAAGAGCUCCUAUCGACAAGUGGGUUUACGACCUCGAUGUUGGAUCAGGUAUCCCAGUGGUGCAGCCGCUACUAAAGGUUCGU